This 465-nucleotide ribosomal RNA is filed under the name uncultured bacterium. RNAcentral describes it as "partial 16S ribosomal RNA". It matches the Rfam family "Bacterial small subunit ribosomal RNA", at positions 339 to 795 of the family's 1533-position model. The record is from RNAcentral.
CUACGGGUGGCUGCAGUGGGGAAUAUUGCACAAUGGGCGCAAGCCUGAUGCAGCCAUGCCGCGUGUAUGAAGAAGGCCUUCGGGUUGUAAAGUACUUUCAGCGGGGAGGAAGGGAGUAAAGUUAAUACCUUUGCUCAUUGACGUUACCCGCAGAAGAAGCACCGGCUAACUCCGUGCCAGCAGCCGCGGUAAUACGGGAGGGUGCAAGCGUUAAUCGAAAUUACUGGGCGUAAAGCGCACGCAGGCUGUUUGUUAAGUCAGAUGUGAAAUCCCCGGGCUCAACCUGGGAACUGCAUCUGAUACUGGCAAGCUUGAGUCUCGUAGAGGGGGGUAGAAUUCCAGGUGUAGCGGUGAAAUGCGUAGAGAUCUGGAGGAAUACCGGUGGCGAAGGCGGCCCCCUGGACGAAGACUGACGCUCAGGUGCGAAAGCGUGGGGAGCAAACAGGAUUAGAUACCCCAGUAGUC